GACGAACGCUGGCGGCGUGCUUAACACAUGCAAGUCGAGCGGUAAGGCCCUUUCGGGGGUACGACGAGCGGCGAACGGGUGAGUAACACGUGGGUGACCUGCCCUCAGCUCAGGGAUAAGCCUGGGAAACCGGGUCUAAUGCCGGAUAUGACUCCAUGACGCAUGUUGUGGGGUGGAAAGCCUUGUGCGGCUGAGGAUGGGCCCGCGGCCUAUCAGCUUGUUGGUGGGGUGANGGCCUACCAAGGCGACGACGGGUAGCCGGCCUGAGAGGGCGACCGGCCACACUGGGACUGAGACACGGCCCAGACUCCUACGGGAGGCAGCAGUGGGGAAGUCUUGCGCAAUGGGCGAAAGCCUGACGCAGCGACGCCGCGUGAGGGAUGACGGCCUCGGUU
Molecule: ribosomal RNA, 395 nt
Filed under: uncultured bacterium
Lineage: Bacteria
Description: bacterial SSU rRNA
Rfam family: Bacterial small subunit ribosomal RNA
Source: RNAcentral